Molecule: ribosomal RNA, 432 nt
Filed under: Aporrectodea caliginosa
Lineage: Eukaryota; Metazoa; Annelida; Clitellata; Crassiclitellata; Lumbricidae
Description: partial 16S ribosomal RNA
Rfam family: Bacterial large subunit ribosomal RNA
Source: RNAcentral
UUCAACGGCCGCGGUAUCCUAACCGUGCAAAGGUAGCAUAAUCACUUGCCCAUUAAUUGUGGGCUAGAAUGAAAGGACCAACGAAAUAAAGACUGUCUCCAUAAGCNCAUCUAAAAAUUAAUCUCUAACUGAAGACUGUUAGAUCCCGUCGAAGGACAAGAAGACCCUAUAGAGCUUUAUUUUAAUAAAAAAUAUAAAUUUUUAAUAAANNUUCGGUUGGGGCGACCAGGGAAGNUUACUAAUCAUCCCUAAAUAAAANGAUUAAUUAAUCUAAAUUCUNNGACCCUUAUNUCAAGAUCAAUAGAUCAAGCUACCUUAGGGAUAACAGGCUAAUCUCACUAAAGAGUCCUUAUCAAUAGUGGGGGUUGGCACCUCGAUGUUGGCUUAGGGAAUCUAUGUGGCGCAAAAGUCACAUAAAGAUGGUUUGUUCAA